RNAcentral lists this ribosomal RNA (504 nucleotides) under uncultured bacterium. RNAcentral's name for it is "bacterial SSU rRNA". It matches the Rfam family "Bacterial small subunit ribosomal RNA", at positions 21 to 518 of the family's 1533-position model. The record is from RNAcentral.
GGUUCAGGACGAACGCUGGCGGCGUGCUUAACACAUGCAAGUCGAGCGGAGACAUGUAACGGAAGGCUUCGGCCGGAAGAUACAUGUUUAGCGGCGGACGGGUGAGUAACGCGUGAGCAACCUGUCCUUCACAGGGGGAUAAGAUACCGAAAGGUGUUCUAAUACCGCAUAAGACCACAGAGCCGCAUGGCAGAGGGGUCAAAGGAGCAAUCCGGUGAAGGGUGGGCUCGCGUCCGAUUAGAUAGUUGGUGAGGUAACGGCCCACCAAGUCGACGAUCGGUAGCCGACCUGAGAGGGUGAUCGGCCACAUUGGGACUGAGACACGGCCCAGACUCCUACGGGAGGCAGCAGUGGGGAAUAUUGGGCAAUGGGGGGAAAAACCCCCUGACCCAGCAACGCCGCGUGGAGGAAGAAGGUCUUCGGAUCGUAAACUCCUGUCCUAAGAGACGAGCAGGAGACGGUAUCUUAGGAGGAAGCCCCGGCUAACUACGUGCCAGCCGCUGC